Molecule: ribosomal RNA, 478 nt
Filed under: uncultured soil bacterium
Lineage: Bacteria
Description: bacterial SSU rRNA
Rfam family: Bacterial small subunit ribosomal RNA
Source: RNAcentral
AGAUUGAACGCUGGCGGCAUGCCUUACACAUGCAAGUCGAACGGCAGCACGGGGGCAACCCUGGUGGCGAGUGGCGAACGGGUGAGUAACAUAUCGGAACGUGCCCUGGAGUGGGGGAUAACUAGUCGAAAGACUAGCUAAUACCGCAUACGAUCUACGGAUGAAAGUGGGGGAUCGCAAGACCUCAUGCUCGUGGAGCGGCCGAUAUCUGAUUAGCUAGUUGGUGGGUAAAGGCCUACCAAGGCAUCGAUCAGUAGCUGGUCUGAGAGGACGACCAGCCACACUGGGACUGAGACACGGCCCAGACUCCUACGGGAGGCAGCAGUGGGGAAUUUUGGACAAGUGGGCGCAAGCCCUAGAUCCAGCAAUGCCGCGUGAGUGAAGAAGGCCUUCGGUGUAAGCUCUUUGUCAGGAAGAAACGGUUCUGGCUAAUAUCUGGAGCUAAUGACGUACCUAGAAGAAUAAGACACCGGCUAAC